CAGUGAAAUUGUUGGUAUCCAUGUAAAGCUCGACAAGAUUGACAAGGUUUCCCAUUUCGGGAGGAAUGGGACCAGAAAGAUCAUUCUCAUAGAGAUAUAGACGAGCCAAGUUUCUCAAAUUUCCUAAAGAAGCGGGAAUGGGUCCA
Molecule: non-coding RNA, 146 nt
Organism: Camellia sinensis
Lineage: Eukaryota; Viridiplantae; Streptophyta; Magnoliopsida; Ericales; Theaceae
Source: RefSeq, a predicted model, not a curated record